Small nucleolar RNA from Cavia porcellus (domestic guinea pig), 139 nucleotides. Lineage: Eukaryota; Metazoa; Chordata; Mammalia; Rodentia; Caviidae. The record is from Ensembl.
AUGGACCUGAAUCAAGGCUGGCAGUUUUCUGAAGGGGGUUUCAACCAAAGGCCUAAAGUAGUGUCUUUUUAUGGUCUUUUGGCCAUCUCAGAACUUUACUACAGAAAUGUAAUGGUCAGUUAAUUAGAAAGAAACCACU